RNAcentral lists this ribosomal RNA (468 nucleotides) under uncultured bacterium. RNAcentral describes it as "partial 16S ribosomal RNA". It matches the Rfam family "Bacterial small subunit ribosomal RNA", at positions 28 to 507 of the family's 1533-position model. The record is from RNAcentral.
GACGAACGCUGGCGGCGUGCUUAACACAUGCAAGUCGAACGGAAAGGCCCUGCUUUUGUGGUGUGCUCGAUUGGCGAACGGGUGAGUAACACUUGUGUAACCUGCCCUUUACUUUGUGAUAACUUCAGGAAACUGGGGCUAAUACCUGAUAGGAUCUCCUGCUGCAUUGUGUGGGUUGGUAAUUUUCGGCGGUUGGGGUUGGACUCGCUGCUUAUCAGCUUGUUUGUGGGGUAGUGGCUUACCAAGGAUUUGACGGGUAGCCGGCAUGUGAGGGUGACCGGGGAAAAUGGGACGGAGAUACGGAACAGAAUGCAACGGGAGGCAGGAGAGGGGAAUAGAGCAGAAGGGGAGGAAGGCAGAUGAAGAAAAGCAGCGAGCGGGAUGAAGGGCUUGGGGUUGUAAACAGAAGUAGAAUGAGAAGAAGAGUGAGUGACGGUAAUGGGUAAAGAAGCAACGGCUAACUACGUG